RNAcentral lists this long non-coding RNA (231 nucleotides) under Solanum tuberosum (potato). Its description in RNAcentral is "long non-coding RNA (STUB_LNC007061)". The record is from RNAcentral. Lineage: Eukaryota; Viridiplantae; Streptophyta; Magnoliopsida; Solanales; Solanaceae.
UCCUAUCCUUCGUGUACAACCUUCCAUGAGCAACCAACAUCAUAAUGAACAACCAUUUCGGGGCAGAAGGGGUAUUGCAAACUAAUUUCUUCCAUCUUACUUUUGGAAACACUCCUUGCACCAAUUGGUACAUCUUUUUUACAGAGAAAUAUUGCAAUCUUUGGAAUUGAUCUUCUGUGUAACCAGCAGCUUCCAUGUACUCCAUAGCUUUGAAAAUUUUCUUGAUAAGCC